RNAcentral lists this long non-coding RNA (34575 nucleotides) under Manihot esculenta (cassava). RNAcentral's name for it is "long non-coding RNA (MESC_LNC010191)". The record is from RNAcentral. Lineage: Eukaryota; Viridiplantae; Streptophyta; Magnoliopsida; Malpighiales; Euphorbiaceae.
UUUUUUUUUUAUAUGGACUAAAGUAAAACAUUGGAAAUACUAUUCUAAGAGUGUUAGAAUAGGAGCAUACGAAUUAGGGUAGAAAGCACAAACCAAACCGCUGAAGAUAGUAAUUCCGCCUAAACAAGAAUUUAGGGUAAAAUUCGAUUUGAACAGCAACUAAAUAAUGUAUUCGACUCUAAUAGGUAUCCCAAAUGGAAAGAUCAUGAAAAAUUGAAGAAAAGACACAAAGGAUAGUUAAGAAAUUAUUACUGAGUCUAGCUCUGAUACCAAUUGAUGCGGAACCCCAGCCUAUUAGAGACUGAAACGACACAUACCCUAGUAAAAAGAACUUAGUUCAGAAAAUAAUUACCCAAUCUAAAGCACCCUUAAUUACCAUGCAAUUAAGAACAUUUAUAACUGAUUGAUUUUAAGAGCAGCAAGAAUAAGAAACAUACAAGUUAGUAUCAAACCUUAUUCGUGAUGCAAUGUCAAGAACCAAGAUCUCUCUUAAGCGCUCAAAGAAGAAUCGCAUAAAGCAAUUGUAUUGAAUAAUUGAUAAUCUGUAUAUAGUAUGGAAAAAGAUAUGUUUUAUAUAACCUAAAUAAAUACCCAUGAUUUUUGCCACUUCCCACUACUAUGUAUGGACCCAUGAUCUAUGCCACUAUCCACUACUCUGCAUGGAUCUAUGAUCUAUGCCACUAUUCACUACUGGAUAACUAUCCACUACUGGUUAACUAUCCACUACUGGAUAACUAUCCACUACUGGUUAACUACCUACUAUUGGUUAACUACCAACUGCUAAAUAACUACCCACUAUAAAUACAAAAUUUGAAUUGUCAAUAGGGACACAUUCGGCCUAAUUGACUUGGAAUGGCCAGAUUGUUCUUCAACUUCAAAAUGAACUUGCAAAGCUUCAACAUAUUCUUUCAUGAAUCCUUGAAGUGCUUCCUUCAACCUCUUGGAUCUCAACCUUGUAAUUGGUCCUUGAGGCAAUGUUAGCUCAUCAUUUUUUGUGUUGUUGGUUGUGCUUACAUCAGAAGGGAAGCCAUGUUUGGCAAUAUUUGCUGUGGAUAAGUUUGCUUCCUUCUGAAAAUCCUACUAAAGAUGGAAAUGAAAUAGGAGUUGAGAAAUGUGAAAUUACAUUGUUGGCUUGAGAGAAAGAAUGGGGCGGUAAAAUUUGCUGCAAAGGAAGUUUGAUGUUUGUGAAGAUUUUUCAGUAGCGAGGAAAACACAUCUUUAAGAAAAUUCAAUUUCAGCAGCAUUUGAUAAUGAAUUUGUGGAAGAUACGUGCAGUGAAAAUAUAUUUCUUAUUUCCUUGGAUAAUAAACUAACUUAUUAUCUGUUGUGCAUUUAUCUGAUUUGCUUGAUAAUGGUGGGAGCAAUUCCUAUUAUUGACAGAAGAAGACUUGUUCUGAGGAAAACAAUGCAAAUUCAGAAAGAAAGAACCACAAAGAGUUAAAAAAUAAGGGGAAAAAACCUGUAGAGUAGCGAAUGGGAAGAGAGCAAGCAGAGAAAUGCAAUGAGAGAAUUUUUCAGUUGGCAACUAAAAAAGAAGUAGGAAGUAGGAAUAAGAAAAACAGAAUCAAACAGAAAGUGCAAACAUUGAAAGGGGAAAGGACAGAUGAGGCCAGUAUAAAAAACAGAAGAAACUUUCCAUGGAACACCAAGUAACUGCCAGUUUCAGAGUCAAAAGUGUGUGUUGCGUUUCUUACAUGUGGUAAAGAGAAAAUUAGCAAAAGCAGAUGUGAAGGCAACUAGCAGCCCCUCUCUUCAGUUUAUUGAGCAUUAAUUAUAUGAAACUAUUAAAACAAAAAUAUUAUGUCAGAUACUAUUUUGAUAUUUAUUUUCUUGUUUUGGAGGGAUUGGAACUGAUUAUCAUCAAGGACGUGCUCUUGUAGAUAUCUCCAAGUUAGAUUUUGAUAUUCAGAAUUCAGUUCCCUUUCUUCUGAUGUGUCUGUUCAAGGAAACAUCUUCGUUGGUUCUUUAAUAGUCAAAGUAUUGUGCCGAUGAUUGAAUAGUGUAUUUGAGACGUAUUGAAUAAAAAGCAUGAGUCACAGACAGACAUGCACACUGUCUUGAGCUAUUCUGCAGCAAAAUCUAAUUAGAAUUACGGAUAUACAAGCAAUACCUAUAUCUGUAUAGAGUUCUUCAGGCCUUAGGGAAGAAUCAAGUGCAAAAAUAUAGAGAUAAUUCAUGAGCUUCACAGUGUAUAGAAAUGAAUGGUCAUUCAUGGUGGAACAUAAAAAAGAAUUUACAUAGCACUAGACUGUGAGGAAUAUAUAAGUGCUAAGAGAAUGGAGUUUCAGAAAUGUAUGGUCAUCAAUGAUCAUGUAACCAUAUUGUAUGAUCUGAGGUCGCUGGAUUCUUGUGCAUGUGUAUAUGUGUCUGCAUUCAUUUAUGUCUAUGUGUAUGCAUAUCUUUCUCUGUGCAAAAGUAUCAGGAUACCUCUGAUAAUAUUACUGGUAUUUAAUUUUGAUUUAUGCUUUCUUUUCCAUGCUUGUGGAAGCCUCCACUGAUGGAAUUUUCAUCCUUGUUAAUGUGUAUGGUUUCAGGGAUACAGCUGGACAAGAGAGAUUUAGAAGUCUCAUACCUAGCUACAUUAGGGAUUCCUCAGUUGCUGUCAUUGUGUAUGACGUUGCAAGUACGCAAUUUUAUGCUAAUAUAUGGUCAUCAUUCUCAUUUAAGCAGCUUAACAAACUUGCAUGUCAACAAAUAUCAAGUCAAGCCACUUUAUCAAACUUUCCAGUUCCCUAAUUUGUUAUUGGUUUAUUUAAGGCUGUAAACUUGCUUCAUUGUUUUACUGCAUUUUGGAACUGAUUGGUGCCUAUGGUCUUCUUUACCUCUCUCCUUUCUUAUUGUUUGUCAAUCUUGUUCUCACACUUUGUGGAUGUUUUCAACUUGAUAUUGUGUACUUUAGGUCGUCAAACUUUUGUGAACACAUCAAAAUGGAUUGAAGAGGUUCGCACUGAAAGGGGCAGCGAUGUGAUCAUUGUUCUUGUUGGGAACAAAACUGACCUUGCAGACAAAAGGUGAAUGCUCAAUUGCAAAAAUGUAGUCGUUGUUGAAUAUUGUGCCCUUUCUAAGGUGCAGACACACAUUGAGCAUAAUAUUGUUCCUUACAUCAGAGCUACGUAGUCUUUUUUUUUUUUUUUUUAAUAAAAAAAGACAUUCUUGGGCAGCCAUUUAGGCCAGAAGUUUUCUUUAUAUAUUUAUAUAGCUUUCAAGGGUUUGAGGUAUUUGAUUCUUCCUUUUUUUUCCUGUCAUCAAGCUUGACCAUUGAAUUGUACUACCUUGAAUGUAUUAACUUUCUCUUAUGGGUAUUAUUCAACAGGCAAGUCUCUAUAGAAGAAGGAGAAGCUAAAGCUCGUGAUCUUAAUGUCAUGUUUAUAGAAACUAGUGCGAAAGCUGGUUUUAAUAUUAAGGUGUGCUCUCUGUUUUUAUUUUUUAUUUUUUAUUUUUUAUUUUUUAUUUUUUAUUUUCUUCCUUUCUUUCUUUCUCUUUAAACACAUACAUGAUUCCAUAUCAUAAAUUGAAGAUUGAUACUUAGCCUGAUUCUUGGUGCCUGUGGAGUCAUGGCCAAAUAGUCUGUACACUGGUAAAAGAGAGAGAGAGAGAGAGAGAGAGAGAGAGAGAGAGAGAGAGAGAGAGAGAUGGAGCCGUGCUAGCUGAAUGAAUUGCUUGUUAAUGUAGCCAUGUUCCCAGUUACAGAUAAGAGAAGAAGUUAAGGAGAGAAUGGUGGGAGGGAAAGAAGAAAAGAGAGAAUCUGCAUUGUUCAUUAAUUCUGGAAUAUGCCCCAUAGUAGUUCACUCCUAUUUAUGUGAAUCCUACAUGUAACCGGAAUAACUGCGCUACCUAUCCCUGUCUAUUACAAUCAGCUCCUCCCAUCUCAGUCUACUCAUCCCAGCUCAUUUCCCUUAUUUAUAAUAUUCCCUGCCUCUUGAAACCAUUAUUGUCCUCAAGAAUGAAUAAAGGAACUACCAGUAAUUUUGCUUGCUGAAUCUGUAUUCAUCUGCAUCAUCUGUUGGAAAGGGAAAAAAAAAAGGGACAGAUGCAUUAUUUGUUAUAAUUUUUGGCGUUAGCACUACAUUUCAAUGCAGAAAUCCUCCAUUGCUAAAAUUCAAUUUUCUUUGUUUGCCUCAUUUGAAAUUCGUUCUCUAUAAGUUUAUGUGUCUUUGUUAUCCCAGCUCAAUUGUAUUAUCCCCAAAACUCCAAGGCUCUUUUCCACUUCUAUCUCCUUCAUAAACUGCCAUAUCUUCUCCUUCUGCAUCAUUUGCGUUCAUCGCAAAAAACUUAAAUCUCUUUCCUUUGGGAAGAAAAAAAAAACACUUUUUCACAUGAUUUUCUCUCGAGAUGAGUUGCCUGCAAAAUUUAUCUAUCAAACUGAAAUCACUUCCAACUAGAUGUUGUUUUAGUAAAAUAAUAGGUUCUUUUUCGUCAACCUUUUGAGCUCGUAAAAAUUGCAAUAUCAUCAGCAAUUGAAGUAGGUUGCUUGAAUUUACAUGACCAGCUUCUGAAAUGUGUACAAGCUAUGGCUUUAAAUAAAGGCCGUUACGUUACAUAACGGUCGUUAUUUACAAGUUUUUGAGCCUGCCGUGGCCAUUAAGGCCUGUAAAUAACGGAAAGAAAAUUUUGUUGCUGUAAUGGGCGUUAUGACUGUUACGCAAAGGUAAUGGCUAUUAUUGGCCGCGAUGUAAUGGCCAUAACGGCCGCUACUUUCCUUACCAGUAGUCCAGCCCAGCCUUUGUAUGCAUUAUUGAAGGGGAAAAAAAACUGAUUUCUCUACUUCUUCUCUUUAGUCUUUUGUUUUUUUUUUUUACUCUUUACUACUUUGUGUCUUCGCCACAACCAGCAAGCCAAGCAGUCCUCCAUCCAACACUCUCUCCACUUCUCUAGAGUCCAGACUCCAGCAUUCUUCCAUACUUAUUUCCAGCCUCCAUUUCAACUUUUCAAGCAAAAGCUGCUAUAUUUCUCUUAAAUGUUUUGAUAGCAGAUUAUAUACUUAAAUUUCUACUCAAAAACCUACCCUAAACAAUCAUUCUGGUAGCAUUAAUUGAGGUAAGUUACUACAUAUAAUAUUUAAAAUUUAUGUAUUUUAUGUUUAUUUAAUAUAUUUGCACUUACUAUUAAGUUACUUAAUUAUCAUUAUAUCUUUCAAUAUAUUUUAAUUUCAUAAACUUUACAAAUUUUUCCAAAAAAUUUGCGCCGCGACAGGCCGUCACCAUUAUGUUAUGACUGUUACAGGCUUGUUUCCGUUGCAUGCGGCUGCGACCAUGAUUUGAAACUAUGGUACAAGCUCCAAUUCUAGAGGCUUUUACAAGCUUCAGAAUUGUUAUCAUUCUUUAGACUGAUUAUUCUCAUCAUUUGAACUGUCAGCAUCAUUACCAAAGUUCUGCUGAAUCAAAUCUUCACUCCUAUGAAACUAAACAUGUCAUCAAGGGAAAGAAAAUCCCGCACCAUCUCAAAAGUUCCCUUGUCAUAAAGGCCUUUGAGAAGCCUCUGUAAGAUCUUUCAUUGUCAAUCUUGUAGUUCCACGGACUGAUUUAUUUUGUCUCCAAGAAAAAUUGAGGAAGAAACGAAAAACUUCGAGCUUGCAGAAAAAGAAUUACUCAGUUAAAAUCACCCUAGAUUGAAAUUUCAGGAAUUUCAAGAAACGGGUUUCUUGAAAUACUAGAAGUGAAGACUUGAAGAAGAAAACUAAUAGAAAUAACAGAAUCAACAAAGGAAGAAGGAAUUUGAUUCAAGAAUCCAAGAAAAGAAGAAGAAACAGGAUCUGCUGAGAAAAAGAGAAGGAAAGAAAUUUCAUUUCAAGGGAAGAAGAAAGAAGAAUAGGGGGAAGAUGAGGAAGAAAUUUCGGGGAAAGAAGGAUAGAGAAUUCUGGAAAGAAUGAAGAAGAAAAAGGAAAGGAGGAAGGAGAAAAAAUUUGGAAUUUGAGAACACUGACUUGAAUUCAAUCUAUGCCCUCUUGGGACCAGCUGUGAUCCUACUGUUGUAUAGACAUGUUCCCAAUUAUAUAUGUACGAGAAGUUGAGAAAAUAGGGUAGCUUUCCCAUCUGUUUUCGCCACUCUUUUGCAUGGCUGAGCCUAUUAAGGAACUGGGUAGCUAGUGGUUAGCUUUGUAAGCCAUUAGUCUACUGCGCAGCAAAAAACCAAACUGGUGAAGUCAAAACAGAAACAUAAGUUAUGGGAACUCAUUAAUUGACCUUAUGAGCUGGUGGAGAUCUCUUUAAACAUGAAGGCUAGGAUCAGUUACUGAAGGCCAUAGCACCGUAUUGCCCAUAUUUUGAUGCCGUUUUCAUUUUUAUUCAAUAAUUUGUCUUUAUUUGUUUUAAUUUUUAAUUCAUGUUUGAAUGUUGUGCAGCCAUUGUUCCGGAAAAUUGCUGCUGCCUUGCCAGGCAUGGAAACACUUUCUUCGACUAAGCAAGAAGACAUGGUUGAUGUGAAUCUGAAAUCCAGCAGUGGAGCCUCAUCACAAUCUCAGGCUGAGUCAGGUGGAUGUGCCUGUUGAUGCCCGGAAACUUCAGCACACCAAUUCUCUGAUUUUGUAGCUAUCAGAAUCAGACGGGAUAUGUAAAUGUUUAGUUUGGUUCCCUUUUUUCUUGCUUCUCUUUCUGUUUGCUUGAGAUUUUGGGUUAGAAAAUGGCUGAAGAACUAGGAGUAGAAAUUCAUUGUUGGUGUUUCAUAGGCUGGUGGAGACUCUGGAAUGUGCAGUUGAUCUCACCACCACUGACCUUGUUUUACUAUUAUAGAGUAAUAAUUGCUGGUUUAUAGGAUUUAUUUCAAAUAAAAUGAUUUAGUGGCUUAUGCCUCUUGCAUCUCUGUUUCAUAAUAUUUGCUGUUAGAGCUAUGAUGGAGAAAAACUAUUUUUUAACUAAAAAAUAUUAAAAAUUUAAAAAAUAAAUGUGACAAUAUAUACGUAUACAUAUGGUAAGAAAGCUUAUUCAAAACCUUUUUCUAAUAUAGAAUUCUGAUCUUCUUUAAAGGGUGCAUUUUGGCUUUUAAACCUCGAUGCUGCCCAAGCAUUAGGGUCUCAUUUUGAAGUUUAUUUUUAAAAAAAUUAAUUUCCUCAUAAGUAUGAUUUAGAUGUGUUUAUUGGUAAAUUAAAUUCUCAUAGAGUACAAAAUGAUCUAUUUCCAAAAAAGUUAAUUUCUUCAUAAGUAUGAUGUAGAUGUGUUUGAUUGGUAAGCUAAAUUCUGUAAAAAGUGUAUUAAUAGAAAGUAAUUAUAAAAAUGUCAUGAAUAAUAUAAUAUAUGUAAAAUAUUUAAAAUAUAAUAUUUAAUUUAAUAAAAGAAUUAAUUGUCAUAAAUAAUAUGUAAAUAUAUGUAAAAUAUUUAAUUUAAUAAAAAAAAUUCAUUGUUAAAUACUCAACUUUUGAGAAGUAAAUACACGAUUUAUAUGAUAACCAGUAUAUAAUUUUUUAUGAUGGUAAUAAUAAUUAAUAAUAACUUUUUGUUAAUUUAUUUCUAUAUUUAAAUGCAUAUAUAAUCUAUACAAAAUUAUAUUACAAAAUUUUUCUAUAUUUUAUCUACAGAGAAACAUGACCUUCAAUAUUUUAUUAAUCUUCAUCUAAAUACUUAACUAUGAAGAAAAAUAAAAAUAAUAAAAUAGAAAGCAGAGAAAAUAACUUGAAGUUACUUGGGUUGAGGAAAGGAAUUUACUUCCCUCUUAGACAAAAAGUAAAACACACCAACUUUUCGGGAAGUUGUACGCUCAUGACAACCAAACAAGAUCACAUUUUAUAUUUAUGGGAACUUUAACUUUCCUUACUAAAUUAUUCCAACCAAAUGAAUUUUGAUAAUUCAUACGAGUAUUUACUACACGAUUUUUCAACAAUAAAUUGUGGAUUGAAAUAUUCACACUCUUUAAAAAUUGAAUACGAGAAGUUUUAAAUCAUGACAAGUUAAAUUAUCAUCGUUUAAUUUAAAACUUAUGAGAUGAGAACUAUAUUUAGAAAACAUGAGACAAUAAGAAAAUAAGCAAUACACUUUUCAGCAUAUGUAGACGCGCAAUAUAAUUUCAGGUUGUGUAAUGCAUGUAUAGCCGAAUUGCACUUAAACCAAAUUUUGUUAUUUUGAUAUUUUAGUAUUUUAUAGAAUUUAUUUUAAAUUAAUUUGGUAUAAAUUAAAAGUUAAAUUCAUACAACUUAUUUAGGAAGGAGAUUUCUCCAAAACAAUUGAGGAAAAAAUUUUUAAUAUAUUCUAUAUUUAACUAGAUAAUCUUCCCUAUAUUAUAAUUAUAUCUUUCUAUAUUAAAAUUAAAGUUUGAAGAUUAUAUCUUUGUACAUUAAAAUUAGGGUUUGAAGGCUAUAAAUAGAGAUAAUGUUAUGAAUAAUAUUUUGGUUAUUCUCUAUUAUUUAGCAACUUAUCAAGGUUCAAUCUUGUGGUAUUCUAAUAUGUAUCUCCUUCAUAUUUAGUUAACUUAUCAAGAAUUUUUUGUGACGUUCUCAAGCUGGAAUCACUUGAUUAUCUUUAUUUCUAAUGUUAGUUAAGGGUGUAGUAGAACAACUUUUGUUUUAUAAUCUUUGUUUCUAAUUAUAUUGGUUGGUUAGGAGUGCAGUUGAGUAACCUUCUAAAAAAUAUUUUUACCUCAUUUUUUAUCAAGUGUGUGUUUGGAAUUCUUGAUAACAUGUUGAUCUGAGUUCCGCAUCAAAUUCUAUGUAUAUUUGGUGGAUCUAUAACUAACAAGGCUCAAAAUCAAAAGUUGAAUUUUAGAAAGACCAACUAACUCAAAAAGUCCAACAUUUGUAUGUAUUUAUAUUUUAAUCUAAAUCUUUUAAUUUUAAUUUAUUUGGUCCAGCCUUUGUAUUUUUAUUUUGGUGCAAUUUUAACUAAUAUGUAAAUUUUUAAAUUUGACAGUGUACAUGACAAUUUGAUAGUUUACUUUGUAUGCCAAGUGUAAUAAUAAUAAUAAUAAUAAUAAUAAUAAUAAUAAUAAUAAUAAUAAUAAUAAUAAUAAUAAUAAUUAUUAUUAUUAUUAUUAUUAUUAUUAUUAUUAUUAUUAUUAACCGAUGAUCAAAUGAUUGAAAAUGAUGAACGUUUAUUAUUAUUAUUAUUAUUAUUAUUAUUAUUAUUAUUAUUAUUAUUAUUAUUAUUAUUAUUAUUAUUAUUAACCAAUGAUCAAAUGAUUGAAAAUGGCGAACGUUUACAUUAUUCUAAUAUUAUUAUUAUUAUUAUUAUUAUUAUUAUUAUUAAACCGAUGAUCAAAUGAUUGAAAAUGGCGAACGUUUAGUUUAUAUAUAAAAAAUAAUAGUAAUAAUAUAUGUGACAUGUCAGCUAAACUAUUAAAUUGUCAUAUAAACUAUUAAAUUUAAAAAUUUAUAUAUUGAUUAAAAUUAUAUCAAAAUAUAAAGAUUGAGCUAAUUAAAUCAAAAUUAAAAAAAUUAAAUUAAAAUACAAAAUACGUGCCAACGUUAGACCUUUUUGAAUCAAUUCACUUUAUAUUUUCUCCUAUCUCAGCCUUCUUAUAUCUUUUUGAUAAAAAAAUUUUAUAAAAAUUUAAUUCAAUUGAUUUUUUUUAAUCAAUUCUCUUAUUCAAAAUAAAAAAAUAUAUUUUUUAAUUAAAUGAAAUAAAAUGAGUAAUUCUAAUGGAGUACUAAUGUUAAAAUAGGCCAACAUUUUUAAUUCAAACUUUUUAUUUUUGGUUUAAUUGACUCAACUUUUGCAUUUUAGUAUAAUUUUAGUCAAUUAAAUUUCUAAAUUUGAUAGUCUAUCUGACAAUUUGCUAUCUAACUAGUAUAUGAUACGGAUCCAAUAAGGCAAAUUUCUAACAAUGGUGUGGAACAAACUUAUAUCAUUCAAAUGAAUCUAAAAAGAGUUCAAAAUCAUAUUCAUAUGAUCCAUAUACAUUUGAGGCGUGCUUCAACUCAUAUGAGACAUAUUUGGUGCAACACUUCAAAUCAUAUACUUAGGGAGUCUAAUCAAACCUAUGGGCUAAAGUUACACAAAAGAAAGCUUAAGGUGAAGAUAAAAAAAUGGAUUUUGUGAAGAUUCAGUUUUGUUAUGAUGGGCUUGCUAUGUUUUAUUAUUUAAACACUUACUUUUAUUUUGAUUUUGUUUUGACUUGUAUUUUACCUAUAUUUUAUCUUUUAAGUUUUAGAGUGUUGGGUCAUGUCUUGGACUUAUGUUUUAAUACUUAUGAGUUUGAUGUGUUAUUUUAGUGUGUGAUUGAGUUUGGUUCGGCUAACCCUAAGAACAGUGUCUUAGGGUUUUAUUUGUUUUAUCCUUAUUAUAUAAGGAUAAGAAACACUUGUAAGAGGCAACUUUUGAAUCUAAAUUUUCAGAAUUCUUUUCAUGUCUUUGACAUGUAUUACUUUGAGUGAGAGUGAGGAUUUGCUUUUAUAAAUUGCACCAAGAAUAUUGGCUAACUUAUCAACUAAUCGCUAUGGCGUUUGUCAGAUUCUCAUCUACAUCCUUCGAUUAUUGAUAUUUCAACUUCUCUAAGUGUGGGGUGCCAUAGGAGGUGGGUUUAUCGAAUCUUUGGAUUCUAUAACUACUUGUGCGUGUGUAUUUGAGACUUGUGCCAUAGGAUUCCACGUCAGUUGGUAUCAGAGAACAGUGAUAGAUAAAUUCCUAUUUAUUUAUAUUUAUUUAUUUCGUAAGUUUUUUUUAUAUUUUUUUUACUCUAUCUUAUUAUUUUUUUAUUUUAAUUUAUCUUAUAGUUUCUUUCAAAAAAAAUAAGAAAAAAAAUAAAGAAAAAAAUUUUAGUUAUAUUUAUAUAAAAAAAAAAAUUCUUUUUUAUUUUAGUAGUGUGAGUUUUUUUUUUAAAUGAGAUAAAAAAAGAAUGAAAAAAAAAACUAUUUCAGUUGUUUGAUUUAAAUAAAAAAAGAAAAAAAAGAAGAGAGAUGCCAAAAUUUAGUGUUUUAUUUGCAAAAUGUCAAACUGAAUUCAAAGAGAAUCUCAUGUCUAUUGAUUCUUUUCUCGUCAUUAUGGUCGAAAAUUCAAGGAUGAAUCUUUUUGAAAAAGCAGAGAAUGAUACAAGCAAAAAAAUAAUACGAUGCUUCAAAAAUUUAAAAUGGGAAACUCUAAAUCAUGACAAAUCAAAUUACAAUCGCUUAAUUCAAGACUUACUAGAUAAGAACUAUAUUUGAGAAGCAUGGAAGAAUAAGGAAACAAGUCACACUCUCUUCAACACAUGUGGACGCACAAUACAAUUUUAGAUCGCGUAAUGCAUGUAUGGCCAAAUUGCAUAGGCCAAUUUCAUUAUUUUGGUAUUUUAGUAUUUUGUGAGAUUUGUUUUAAAUUAAUUUGGCCUAUAUUAGAAGGCAAAUUCAUGCAGUCCACUUAGAAAAGAGAUUUCUCCAAGAUAAUUUAGGAAAAUAAUCUUUAAUAUAAUCCAGAUUUGACUAUUUGACUACAUACCCUUCCUAAAUUAUAAUUACACAUUCCUAUAAUAGGAUUAGAGUUUUGAAGGCUAUAAAAACACACCUUAAGGUGACAGUUACAAUUAGCCAAUGAAUAAAAAUGAUGUUAUGAACAAUAUUUGGUUCUUCUCCAUUAUUUAACAACUUAUCAAGGUUUAAUCUUGUGGCUGAUGCGAAACCCCAGCCUUUUAGAGACUGAAACGAUACAUACCCUAGUAAAAAGAACUUAGUUCAGAAAAUAAUUUCCCAAUCUAAAACACCCUUAAUUAACAUGCAAUUAAGAACACUUAUAACUGAUUGAUUUUAAGAGUAGCAAGAAUAAGAAUCAUACAAGUUAGUGUUAAACCUUAUUCGUGAUGCAAUGUCAAGAACCAAGAUCUCUCUUAAACUCUCAAAGAAGGAUUGCAUAAAGCAAUUGUAUUGAAUAAUUGAUAAUCUGUCUAUAAUAUGGAAAAAGAGAUGCUUUAUAUAACCUAAAUAAAGACCCAUGAUCUUUGCCACUUCCCACUACUAUGCCGGGACCCAUUAUCUAUGCCACUACCCACUACUAUGCAUGGACUCAUGAUCUAUGCCACUAUCCAUUACUGGAUAACUACCCACUACUGGUUAACUAUCAACUGCUAAAUAACUACCCACUACUCAAUUAGUGAUGGGGAAUCUGUUAAUGCAAAUACAAAGUUUUGAAUAAUCAAUAGGGAUACAUUCGGCCUAAUUGACUUGGAAUGGCCAGAUUGUUCUUCAACUUCAAAAUGAACUUGCAAAGCUUCAACAUAUCCCUUCUUGAAUCCUUGAAGUGCUUCCUUCAAUCUCUUGGAUCUCAACCUUGUAAUUAGUCCUUAAGGCAAUACUAGCUCAUCAUUUUUUGUGUUGUUGGUUGUGCUUACAUCAUUCCCUCCCUCUUGAAAAGGAUUCAUCCUUAAAUCUACACCAAAAUCAAAAGGAGACAAAUAAGAAACAUUAAAGGUAGCCCUUACACCAAACUCACCUGGCAGAUCAGUUAUGUAUGCGUUGUCAUUGAUCCAUUUCAGUACUUGAUAUGGUCCAUCCCCUCGUGCAUCUAGUUUUGAUUACCUUUGAUUCGAAAAUCUCUCUUUUCGCUUAUGGAUUUAAACCCAGUCACCUGGUCUGAAUACAACUUUCUUGCGACCCUUAUUGGCCUGUUUCUCAUACAUCCUAUUACGCUUCUCAAUAUGCUCACGCGCUUUCAUGUGUAUUGAUUUAACCAUUUCAGCCUUCGCUUUUCCAUCUAAAUUAGAUAACUCAUUCAAAGGUAAAGGCAUUAAAUCUAAUACAGUUAAUGGAUUAAAACCAUACACAAUCUCAAAAGGUGAAUAACCAGUAGAAGAAUGGACAACGCGAUUAUAAGCAAAUUCAACAUAGGGCAAACAUUCUUCCCAAGUUUUCAAGUUCCUACCCAUAAUAGCACGAAGCAUAGUUCCUAAAACUCCUAUUAACAACUUCAGUUUAGCUAUCUGUUUGUGGAUGACAAGUAGUAGAAAAUAAAAUUUUAGUAUUCAAUUUGAUACGAACCAGCAAGUACAAUCACAUGAGAAUCAAGGAAGCAAGGAUCCAUUGGUGCUCCCUAGUGGACCAGUGACAAGGAGCAAAGCUAAGAAGUUUGAAGAAGCUAUGAACUUACACAUUCAAGAACAAGUAACACAAGAAUUGACUGAGCUUACCAUUGGCAAAUGUCUCGUGAAGCUUGAAGACACACCUAAGCUACUCAUCUUGCUUAAGGUGUGUAAUGGAGAUAGCGCUGUCUAAUUUAUUCGGCAUUGUUAUGAUGGACUUGCUAUAUUUUAUUAUUUAAACACUUGUUUUAUUUUAGCUUUGUUUGGGCUUGUAUUUUGGUCAUAUUUUAUCUUUUAAGUUUUAGAGUGUUAGGCCAUGUUUUGGACUUAUAUUUUAAUACUUAUGUAUUUGAUGUAUUAUUUUAGUGUGUGAUUGGGCUUGAGUCUUGUGUGUGGUUUGGCCAGCCUCAAAAAGAGUGUCUUAGGGUUUUAUUUUCUCUCCUUACUAUAUAAGGAUAAGAAACACUUGUAAAAGAUAGCUUUGAAUCUAAAUUUUCAGAAUUCUUUUCAUGCCUUUGGCGUGUAUUGCUUUGAGUGAGAGUGAGGAUUUGCUUUCAUCAAUUACACCAAGAAUCUUCACUAACUUAUCAACUAUUCAUUGUGGCGUUUGUCGGAUUUUUAUCUAAAUCCUUCGAUCAUUGGUGUUUCAGCUACUCUAAGUGUGGGGUGCUAUAGGAGGUGGGUUUAUCAAAUCUUUAGAUUCCAUAUCUACUUAUGCGUGUGGGUUUGAGGCUUGUGCCCUAGGGUUCCGCGUCAGUUGGUAUCAGAGCCAAAGUGAGGUAAAUUUUGAUUUAUCUUAGGAUCUAGGUUUUUUGAGUUUUCCUUUUCUUUGUUGUUAAAUUCCGUGAAAGUUUGAGUGUCCAUGGCUGCACCUUCUUAAUUAUUAAUCGUAAAAAAAAAUCGAAAUCCUUAAAAAAAAUCAAAAAUCAAAAAUCAAAAUCGCCUUUGCCUUAUUUAUCUUGAUCUGGCCGAAAUUGUGAUAUACUUCCUUUUUUUCGUCCAUAUUGCCUUACCUAUCUCAAUUGAUUGCUAUAAUUUAUGGGAAUCAAUUUUGAAUUUUGAAUUGGGUUGAAUCCAGAUUAGGAGACAAAAGAUAUUCUACCUAUUUCCUAAAGUGCACAUUUAAGGCAAUUUGCAUCUAAAUUGAUUUGAUGUCAAAUCCUUCUUUUAAUACCAGAAUUUUCGUCCAUGACGCUGAAUUGAGUGAAAUUUAAUUUUUUUUUUCUGAUUCUAUUUGUGGUGUUUUGAUACUUGCCUUUUUGAGUAGAUUUAAAUAGAUCCAUAUUUAAUUUGCAUUGAAGUGAAUUAAAUUUAAACUUUUGUCCAGGUUCGUUUUUAUUUGAAUUCUAUGUUUCCUUUUUGUUUUAAGCUUGCUUUUGCUUCCUUGACGUUGCAGGAGUAUUAUUUGCUUGUGUCUAUGCUCUAGGUGAUAUUUUCUAAGUAGCACAAACCCUAGUUCUUGUGUUACUUUCCAAAUUAUCAGUGUCUUCUUUAUAGUUUUUGCGCGCUUCCUUCUUUCUUUAGGUUUUCUUAUUUGUUUCUUUAAACGCACCUUAUGGUUGGUUGGUUGACCUUAGUUUCUAAUGUGCAAUUGAAGAAUCAACAAAAUAGUGGUAAGAGUGCAAACACUUGAGUGCUUUCUUUUCUAACACAAUAUUUGCUAGUUCUCUUUAUUCUUUGUUGAUUUAAGGGAGGAUGAGUAAAGACAAGAAUGUGGUGGAUAGUACUGAUGAGAGUGAAUCAGACAUGGGUAACGAUUAUAAGCUCUUUAAGAAGUCAGUCAGCAGUGAGUUACAAAGACUCAACAGGUCUCUUAAGAGGAUGACCGAAAGUAUGGAGAGAUUGAAAGUCUCAUGAGCUUCCACUUCUACAAGAAUGGCUCAUCGAAUUCUUAACCCCGAUAUACCACAAGUCCAAGAACCUCAAGUCCGAGGUGAAAUUGAUGAUAUAGAAGAUAAUGUCGGACAAGGAAGGGGGAGAGGAUAAGUUCAUGGAGGUAAUAGAACUGGCAUUGGGUUGAAUAGAGGUGGUGAUGCUAGACUUGGUAGAAAUGAUGAUGACACCGAGACAUACCAAACCAACACCAUUGAUGGUGAUUUGAGCUACAUAAAGAUGAAAGUUCCUGAAUUUAAAGGGAAUAACAAUGUUGAAGAAUACAUUGAAUGGGAGAGAAAAACUGAGCAGAUAUUUGAGUGUCAUAACUAUACUGAGGAGAAGAAGUCUUAUAUCGUUGCUGUUGAGUUCAGGGGUUAUGCCUCUUUCUGGUGGGAUCAAUUGAAAUCCAUAAGGAGGAAUAAGGGCUUAAGGGCAUUUUCACUAUGGGAAUACUUGAAAGUUGAUGCACCAAAGAUUUAUUCUUUCGCACUAUUAUAGGGAUUUGUACAACAGGUUGGCAAGACUGGUGCAAGGGGGAAAGAGUAUGGAAGAAUACCACAAGGAGAUGGAGAUGAUGAUGGCUCGGGCUCAUAUUGAGGAGGAUGAGCAAAUGAUGAUGUCCAAAUUUCUAGGUGGUCUUAACCACUGCAUUGCUGAAGAACUUGACAUGUACCAAUACAAUACCAUGGAGGAUAUGGUUGAUAAAGCAAUGAAAAUAUAAAGCAAUAAAAAUAGAAAGGGUACUAAACUUUUAUUAUUUUGGUAUUUUAGUAUUUUGUAGGAUUUAUUUUAAAUUAAUUUGGCCUAUAUUAGAAGCCAAAUUCAUGCAGCCCAUUUAGGAAGGAGAUUUCUCCUAGAUAAUUUAUGAAAAUGAUCUUUAAUGUAAUUUAUGUUUGACUAUUUGACUAGAUACCCUUCCUAUAUUGUAAUUACACCUUCUGGUUAAGGUUUUGAAGGCUAUAAAAAUACCAUUAAGGUGACAGCCACAAUUAGCCAAGGAAUAAAGAUGAUUUUAUGAACAAUAUUUAGUUCUCUAUUAUUUAGCAACUUAUUAAGGUUUAACCUUGUGGUGUUCUAAUAUGGAUCUCCUCCAUGCUUAGCUAACUUAUUAAGAAUUUCUUGUGGUGUUCUCGAAACUGGAAUCGCUUGAUUAUCUAUGUCUCUAAUCACAAUUAUUGGUUAGGGGUGUAGUAGAGCAACCUUCGCUUGAUUAUCUAUGUUUCUAAUCACAUUGGUUGGUUAGGGGGUGUGGUAGAGUAACUUUUACUCCAUUAUCUAUGUUUCUAAUCACAUUCGUUGAUUAGAGGUGUAGUAGAGCAAUCUUCUGGAAGAUAUCUUUGUCACGUUCUUUAUCAAGUCGUGUGCCGAGAUUUUUUAUCACAUGUUGGUCCUGGGUUCUGCAUCACUUACUAUACCUCUUAUUCAACUUGCCUUGUCCUUUCAAGUGUUUUAAGGACUUAUGAUCCAUAUGUAUCACAAACUCCUUGGGCAGGAGAUAGUGUUGCCACACAUCCAGUGCUCUCACCAAGGCAUACAGCUCCUUUUCAUAGUUUUAAUAAUUGAGAUGUGUUCCGUUCAACUUUUCACUGAAAUAGGCUAUUGGUUUCUUCUCUUGCAUCAACACAGCUCCAAUACCUACGUCAUAAGCAUCACACUCAAUUUCAAAAGUUUUAUCAAAGUGAGGUAAAGAUAAUAUAGGAGCGGAUGUUAACUUCCCUUUUAAGCAGUCAAAAGCUUUCUGUUGCUCCUCUCCCCACUUGAACCCAACUUCCUUCUUAAUAAUUCCUGUGAGUGGUGCUGCAAUCGUAGAGAAAUCGUGCACAAAUAUCCUGUAAAAGCUUGCAAGGCCAUGAAAGCUCCUCACAUCUGAAAUAGAUUUAGGAAUAGGCCACUCCUUUAUAGUUUUCACCUUCUCUUCAUCUACCUUAAUUCCCUAUGCACUCACAAUAAAACCAAGGAAAACAAGUCUAUCUAUACAAAAUGUGCACUUCUUAAGUCUAGCACACAAGCUUUCUUGCCUCAAAACCUGCAGGACCAACCUUGUUGGGAAAUCCCGAGAUUAUUGCAACCCAGUUGCGCAGUGGAAAAAUAAAAUCUCUGUUGAUUUCCUUUCCCAUAAUCCGAGUGCUUCGUUUAAUUAAUAAGAUGGAUAUGAGACUAACCUGUUAAUCUCGUCAAGAAGAAACAAUGCCGGACUGAUAGUGCUGCCUUUUCAAACGAACACCCUCAAUGGUAUCCACACGAACGUCUUCUAUCUUUCUAGAGUGCUAGCUCUCUCAAAGAUGGAUAGAUUAUGUGCUCCACAAUCUGCAAUCUUUUAGACUGAGUUUUCUCAAAAACACGUACCUUCCACAAUUCGUAGAAGGGGUAUUUAUAUGUUUCAAUCUUUUGUUUUCACACAAAUCCUUUUUCUAAAAGGAGUUGUAUUUUUCCCACAACUCCUUUUCCUAAAAGGAGUUGUAUUUAUCCCACAACUCCUUUUCCUAAAAGGAGUUGUGUUCAUAACCCACUAUCACAAUUUUGCAGAUACUCAAAUAUCUUAUGUGAUAGAAUUCUUUAUCUGUAACAGUUACAGAUAGACUGCAGAUCUUUUAAAUAUUAUUAUCUCAUAAUAAUAAAUGAUUAAUAAUAAUAACACUUUAUUAUUAUUAAUUAUAUUAAUAAUUAAUAUUAAUAAUAGUAACACUUAUUAUUAUUAAUUAUAUUAAUAAUUAAUAAUAAUAAUAAUAACACUUUAUUAUUAUUAAAUAUAUUAAUAAUAAUAACACUUUAUUAUUAUUAAAUAUAUUAAUGAUUAAUAAUAAUAACACUUAUUAUUAUUAAUUAUAUUAAUGGACUUUGGGCUUUUAGCCCAUUAAUAUGACAUAACACAUCAACAACGUUCUUUUGUGUGUGACCCAAUAGGCUCACAUUAAUUGGCAAUAGGCCCAGUCCCACAAGGCCCAUAAGUCAUAAGUGGCCUCUAGCAAGACAUUAUGACUACCCAACUAAUUAUGAGGAUCAAUAGUCCGAUAAAGCCUAAUAGAACAUGAAUUAAUCCCUUUGUCAUACGAUAUCUAGUUUGAACAUAAGUCAUGGUCAAUGUCAAACUUAUAAUGUUCAAAUUUAUGAUUUCUCGAUCUCUAAGUAGACUGAUAAAUUCGAAUGAUAUUGAUCACACUAUCAAUUCAUUUGAGCACGGCCAUGCAUUUCUCAGUCUCACUUAUUGAGGGGCCCAGAAGAUAUCUCUCUCAUAGAGAGGGACAAAUCCUAUCUUGAUUGUUCAUUAUCCUCUACAUAAUUUCUAUUAUGCUCAAUCAUAACCUUUAUGAUUGUCCGAUUAAAGACAACGUUUGGUUAUGUCAAAACAUAAUAGUCCUUAUGUUGGAAACUAUGACAAUCUCAAGUCAAAGGAUUAAGACAUAACUACUUUGAGAUUCACUUAUGACAAUAACCCAUAUAGUGAUCUCAAUGCGGGUCCAUCCAAUACUUUGUUCUCUAACAAGUAUUUAUGAUUAUUGAAUUAUAUCAACAUAUACAUAAUCAUCUCAUGAUUAUCAAUCAAUAAUCAUACUAGUUAUAUUUUAUUAUUAUCAACAUAAUAAUAAGUAACCAGGGAUGAUAAUCAUUAUUAUGUAACAUGCAAACAAAUAAUAAUGAUAAAAACCUCUUUUAUUAAUAACCAAAACGACAUACAAAAAGGCCCAAGAUAAUGGCCUAGGGCAUAUACACUAACAAUCUCCCACUUGCAUUAGGCCUAAUCAUACAAGUAUCUAAUACCCAUAGACUUAGUGUGCUGAUCAUGCUUGACCUGUGAAAGAGGCUUAGUCAGUGGAUCUGCAAUGUUGUCAUUUCUGUCUACUUUGCAUAUUUUGAUAUCUCCUCUAUCAAUGAUCUCUUGAAUAAGGUGAUAUCACCUGAGUAUAUGUUUAGAUCUCUGAUAAGAUCUGGGCUCCUUUGCCUGUGCUAUGGCACCGUUAUUAUCACAAUAAAGGUCCAUAGGUUUUGCAAUGCUGGGAACCAUUCCCAACUCUGAGAUGAAUUCCUUCAACCAGACUGCCCUUUUAGCUGCAUCUGAUGCUGCUAUAUACUCAGCUUCUAUUAUAGAAUCUGCUAUAGUACUCUGCUUGGAACUCUUCCAACUAACAACUCCACCAUUUAAAGUGAAUACGAAUCCUGACUGUGAUCUGAAGUCAUCUAUAUCGGUUUGGAAACUAGCAUCUGUGUAACCAUUUACAACUAGCUCGUCUUCCAAUCCUCCAUAAACUAGGAAUGUAUCCUUUGUCCUUCUAAGGUACUUUAGGAUAUUCUUAACAACUGUCCAGUGACUUUCACCGGGAUCUGCCUGAUAUCUGCUUGUUGUGCUCAAGGCAUAUGAGACGUCUGGUCUAGUACAUAACAUGGCAUACAUGAUAGAUCCAAUAGCAGAAGCAUAAGAGAUGUUAUUCAUCUGUUCUCGCUCAUCAGAUGUCAUAAGACAUUGAUUCUUGCUGAGAUGAAUACCAUGAGACAUGGGCAAGAAUCCUCUUUUGGAAUCUUGCAUGCUGAACCUUUUCAGCACCUUGUUAAUAUAAGUACUUUGACUCAGACCGAUUAUCCUCUUGGAUCUAUCCCUAUAGAUCUUAAUACCAAGGAUAUAUGCGGCCUCACCUAAGUCCUUCAUUGAAAAAGAAUUCCCUAACCAAGUCUUAACGUUUUGCAAGGUAGGGAUAUCAUUUCCAAUGAGUAAUAUGCCAUCCACAUAUAGGACUAGAAACACAACUGCACUCCCACUAACCAUCUUGUAAACACAACGUUCAUCUUCUUUUUUGAUGAAUCCAAAGUCACUGACUGUUUCAUCAAAACAAAGAUUCUAGCUCCGAGAAGCUUGCUUCAAUCCAUAAAUGGAUCUCUGAAACUUGCAAAUCUUUCUAGAAUUCUCAGGGAUUACAAAACCCUUAGGUUGUGUCAUGUACACAUCCUCGAGCAAAAGUUCACGACUGUCAGUCAUGAGAAAUCCAUAUCUCUCAGGCUGAUGACGUGUCCUAUCAGAUCUGCAUGGGACUUGUGUCACCCUUUCAGUUUCCACAACUGUUUGUGGUUCUGGAAGUGGUUCUACCAGCGGUUCAAUGCUCUCUUGUGGUUCUUGAGUUUCCUCAAAUCGCACUGUACUCCCACUGAAUCUCUGAGAGAUAAAUUCCUUUUCUAAAAAGGUACCAUUUCGAGCAACAAACACUUUGUUCUCUGAAGGAAUAUAGAAAUAGUAUCUUUUGGUUUCCUUAGGAUACCCCACAAAAUUGCACUUGAUAGAUUUUGGAGCUAGCUUAUCUGAAAUUGGGCGUUUCACAUAAGCCUCACAACCCCAAAUCUUAAGGAAAGACAAACUGGGCUUUUUCCCAGUCCAUAACUCAUAUGGUGUCUUUUCAACCGCUUUUGAUGGUACUCGGUUUAGAAUGAAUGCAGUUAUUUUCCAAGGCAUAACCCCAAAACGAUAAAGGGAGAUUUGUUUGAUUCAUCAUAGAUCGAACCAUAUCUAAUAAAGUUCUAUUUUUCCUUUCAGAAACACCAUUCCAUUGUGGAGUUCCUGGAGGAGUUAAUUGUGAAACAAUUCCAUAGUUUUAAAGAUGUUCAUCAAACUCUUGGCUCAAAUAUUCACCGCCUCGAUCAGAUCGAAGCAUUUUAAUAGUUCUACCAAGUUGAUUUUGUACUUCAUUUUGAAAAGUUCUAAACAUUUCAAAAGAUUCAUGCUUAUGUUUCAUUAGGUAGACAUAGAUAUACCUACUGAAAUCAUCAGUGAAUGUAAUGAAGUACUGAUAACCUCCCUUAGCACUAAUGCUUAGUGGGCCACAUACAUCUGUAUGUAUUAAGCCCAAUAAGUUUGAAGCCCUUUGACCUUGUCCAGUAAAAGGGUCCUUUGUCAUCUUACCAAGCAAACAAGAUUCACAAUUUUCAAAUGAUUCAAAAUCAAAUGAAUCUAAUAAACCAUCUUUAUGGAGCUUAAGUAUGCGAUUCUCAUUUAUAUGGCUAAGACGACAAUGCCAUAAAUAUGUUGGGUUCAACUCAUUUGACUUAGUUUUCUUAGCAGUUAUGUUAUAGAUAUUGUUGUCUCUAGAAUCAUCUAGAUCAAGGACUUAAAGGCCAUCAUAUGAAUUUGCAAUACAAUAAAGCAAAUCAUCUUUAUUAAUGGAGCAUUUCUUAUUCUUAAUAAGAAAAGAAAAACCUUUAUCGUCCAAAACAAAAACUGAAAUAAUAUUCCUACUCAAAGUAGGAACAUAAAAGCAAUUGUUCAGAACUAACAAAAGCCCAUUGGGCAACACUAGUUCAUAUGUCCCUACAGCUAUGGCAGUAACUCUUGCUCCAUUGCCUACACGUAGGUCCACAUCGCCCUUUUCAGUUUUCUACUCCUUUUGAAACCCUUCACAUUUGUACAAAUGUGAGAGCCACAUCCGAUAUCUAAUAUCCAUGAAGUAGAAAUAGAUAAAUUAAUAUCUAUAACAUAAAUACCUGAAGUCGUAGUCUCACUACUCUUCUUCUUCUUGCACUCAUCCAAAUAGAGUUUGCAAUUUCUCUUCCAAUGCUCUAGUUCCUUACAAUGGAAGCAAAUUCCUUCCUUAGGAACUAUUUCCUUAGGAACUUUUGGCUUGGAUUGCCAUUUAGGCUUGCCACGUCCCUUAGGCCCAUUACCACCUUUGGGCUUGGGCUUCCCCUUAUUUUUCAUGGGCUUACCCUUAUUAAUAUUCAAAAUUUGGGUAGGCCUUUUCUUGAUAUUUACCUCAGCUAUUUUUAGCAUCCCAUGCAGCUCAGGAAUAUAUUUUUCCAUGUUGUUCAUAUUAUAGUUCAUGACAAACUGAGAAAAACUGCCAAGUAAAGAAUGUAGGAUCAAAUCCGUGGAGAGUUCUAAACUCAGAGGAUAGCCAAGCCUAGCAAGGUGAUCAAUGUAGCCUUUCAUCUUUAAAACAUGAGCACUAACUGAAUCACCUUCAGCCCUUUUUCAAUCAUGCAAUGCGAUGGUGGUUUCAUACCUGUCCUGCCUAGCUUGUUGUUGGAAAGCCUGUUUGAGAUGGACACUCAUCUCAUAGGCCUCAAGGUGCUCCAGAUCCUUCUAAAGUUCUGGGCACAUAGUUGCCAACAUAAGACAUCCAAUGUCAUUAGAAUCAUCCAUAUGCUUUUUAUGCUUGUUCUUAACAGCAUUAGUAGCAUCAGCAGGAGGUGGUUCUGGGAUAGCUUCAUCAAGCACAUAGGACUUUUUCUCUUGCUUGAGAAUAAUUUUCAAGUUUCUAAACCAGUCAACAAAAUUAUUCCCAUUUUCUUUCAGUUUAUCCUUCUCAAGGAUAGAUCGCAGUGAUAAGGUGGAAUUGUUAUUAGCAGCCAUAAUUAUCUACAAAAUAUGCAAAGAUGAUUAAUUUAGUAAAUUAAUAUUAAGGUGGUAAUAAUCUCCCACUAAAAUAUAACCCUCAAAAUAAUAAUAUUUUAGCGGGCUAAGAUCCAUAUUUCACCUAAUUCUAAGUCAACUUUGGCAUGACGCUUAGAAUUAAGUUAUUUAGGUAGGUAACCCCUUACCAAUUACAUCUAAUGUAACUCUUAGAUUAUGAGGUAUUGACAUCAUAUGUCAAAUGCAUGUUAUACCCCAUCUAAUGCCUUAGGCCCAAAACCGUUUUGAUAGCCAAAUUAAGCUCAACCAAAAUUAAAUAAAUGAGUAACUAUUACUCAUCCUAUCUUACUAGGAUAACCUAAUGCACUUUGCUUUGGCAAAACUUGCAUUUUGGUGAUCUUAGUCUUGAUAAGUUUUUAAUAUAUGGGUGGCAUUAAAACUUAAAAUUUUAGAGUGAGGGUUCAACUUUUAAUUAUUUUAUCUUGCAUAUAUAUAUAUAUAUCAUAGUAUCCAAUGUGCAUAGAUAUAUAUAGACAAUGAUGCAUAGUAUCUCAUACUAACAUAUGACAAAAUAAUAAAAUAUAGUCAUUUAAAUCUGAUUUAAAUCUGAUUUAAAGACUAAAAGAAAAUAAUAAAAUAUAGUCAUUUAAAUCUGAUUUAAAGACUAAAAGAAAAUAAUUUAUUUUCUCAAAUUUAUUAUUAUUAUUUUUUUUGUUUCAGGGGCAGAAUAGUAAUUAGGGCAUCUUCUUCCUAAGGAGAAACCGUAGUUGCUGCCCGAGGAUCCAGCAACCUGCAUUAACGCGGUACCCUCUGCUCUAAGAAUCAGGAGAGCCAAGCCUUCGCUUGAGUCACCCAUGGUUCAACGCCUAGCUUGGAAUGGGCAAAGCCUGAAAUUAGCCUAGACCGAAUCCAACCUUCUUAGCUGGAACAACGUCCCAUCAUCUCAUAGCCCCCCACUUGGGUGACAAGCCCAUGCUACUAGGUUCGGUUGCCGCACGACAAUCAUAGCAGCCACAAUGCUGUAGUGAUGCCCAAUUUAUGGGUUCACGAUAUGAAUCCAGUUGCAGAUUCAAAUUCCUUUUUUUUUAAUUAAUUUAAUUUUUCUAACAAAAAUUAUCUAAAUGAUCUGAUCAUUUAUCCAUAAUUAUCAUGCCAUUCUAAUAACCAUAUAUCGCAUAUAUAAUAUCAAUCAUGGCAUAAUUAAUUUAAACGAAAAGCACAGGUAAGCUUUGAAACCACUGUUGGGAAAUUCCGAGAUUAUUGCAACCCAGUUACGCAGCGGAAAAAUAAAAUCUCUGGUUAUUUCCUUUCCCAUAAUCCAAGUGCUUCGUUUAAUUAAUAAGAUGGAUAUGAGACUAACCUAUUAAUCUCGUCAAGAAGAAACAAUGCCGGACUGAUGGUGCUGCCUUUUCAAACGAACACCCUCAAUGGUAUCCACACGAACAUCUUCUAUCCUUCUAGAGUGCUAGCUCUCUCAAAGAUGGAUAGAUUAUGUGCUCCACAAUCUGCAAUCUUUUAGACUGAGUUUUCUAAAAAACACAUACUUUCCAUAAUUCGUAAAAGGGGUAUUUAUAUAUUUCAGUCUUUUGUUUUCACACAAAUCCUUUUUCUAAAAGGAGUUGUAUUUUUCCCACAACUCCUUUUCCUAAAAGGAGUUGUGUUCAUAACCCACUGUAAUACCCGGCUCGUUCAGGCAUCAGAAUUCCUACCGUCCGAUGGAAUCUCGGAUGUCGGAUUCGUUUUGAGGGGUAUUGCAAGGGUCAACUGAAGUUUUCUACACGGUUUUCUAAAGGUUUUCUAACAUGGUUUUAAGUGUUUGACGAGAAAAGGUCAAUGAGGGAAAAACAGAGGUUCGGCCGCCGAAGGUAUGUUCGGCCGCCGAAGGUGGUAGAGUUUGUGCCUCCGAAAGCUAGGUUCGGCCGCCGAAGUUGGCUGAGUUGCGGGUGCAAGUUUGGCUGCCGAAGACGGUUGACCAAGCCACCUAUAAAAGCCCUUAGGUCGGUUCAAGAGGUAAGUUUUCUUCCUCUUCCCACCCAAGGUGAGCUCAUGUCCUCCUUGAGAUGAUUUCAUGGUUUUUGCAAGUUCUUGCAUGGUUUUUAAUGAGUUUUAUCCUUGGUUUAGAGAGUUGUGAGCUUUGAGCAAGGUUUUGGANNNNNNNNNNNNNNNNNNNNNNNNNNNNNNNNNNNNNNNNNNNNNNNNNNNNNNNNNNNNNNNNNNNNNNNNNNNNNNNNNNNNNNNNNNNNNNNNNNNNNNNNNNNNNNNNNNNNNNNNNNNNNNNNNNNNNNNNNNNNNNNNNNNNNNNNNNNNNNNNNNNNNNNNNNNNNNNNNNNNNNNNNNNNNNNNNNNNNNNNNNNNNNNNNNNNNNNNNNNNNNNNNNNNNNNNNNNNNNNNNNNNNNNNNNNNNNNNNNNNNNNNNNNNNNNNNNNNNNNNNNNNNNNNNNNNNNNNNNNNNNNNNNNNNNNNNNNNNNNNNNNNNNNNNNNNNNNNNNNNNNNNNNNNNNNNNNNNNNNNNNNNNNNNNNNNNNNNNNNNNNNNNNNNNNNNNNNNNNNNNNNNNNNNNNNNNNAGGUUUAGGGAGGCUUGUUGGUGCAUGGAUCUGGGUUCUGGAGGAACUCAGGUUCGGCCGCCGAAAGGAGUUUCGGCCGCCGAACCCUUGAGGAGGUGGGAUAGGCCGCCUAAACUCGCCCCCGAAGGUUUGGACUUUCGGCUCUGGAGUGGAGUUUCGGCCGCCGAACCUGCCGCCGAACAUGUCUGACUUUCGUCUCUGGAGAGGACUUUCGGCCGCCGAAAGUGCCGCCGAAGGUGCCCUGUUUUGCCUUCCUUUGCAUGUUUUUCCAUGCAUGUCUAUGGUGUUUUAGGGGGGUUUUUGGGGAGAUGUUUGAGAGUUAUGUUAGAGUUGUUUGGCACCUUAUGUGAGUCCACCUGUGUAGGAUCGGAUCUGAGGCGAGGUGUUUAGCUCCAGUGUGAGAGUUGGCCCAGAGUUAGCCACAGCUUGGCUUCAGGUGAGUAGAACUAACUAUGCAUGUUUUAAUGCUAAUGGUUAAGAUAGUGACAGUAUGAGCAUGAGACACGCAUCAUGGAUGCCAUAUGAUACUAGGUUGUACUGCAUUAGCGAUCACGAAUAUGCUGCAUUGCAUUAUUAUUGUUGAUGGGAUGGACCAAGGCGAUCUCAGUAGCCCGCAACCUGUUAUGUCUAGAUAAGACCUUUGGGAGCUCCGCAGUUAGGGGCAGGGCUCUAGUACAUGUAGUGACCUGGGAGUCCAUAGGGGCCGGGCACCGACAGAGGGAGUUCUGGGAUCAUGUCUAAUCCGAGAUGUGAGAUGUUUGUGUUAUGAGACAUUCCAUGAAAGCAUGUAAUGAAUGAACUGUUUUAUGGUUUCUACUCACUGGGCUCUUGUAGCUCACCCCAUUCCCUUAACCCCAGUUUUGCAGGGCCAGAGUUCAGCAGAGGUCAGCAGAGUGAGCUAUGGGAAAAGCAUAGUGUAAGCAGGGGUUGCAGUGGUUGGCUGUAAGAGCAUAGCUAGGUUUUGCUAGAGUGGCAUGUGGCAUGUAUAUGGAUGAAAGAAGCUUGAUGUAUAUGUGUUGAUGUUGUAAAGAGAAAGUGAUGUUAUGUUAUGUUAUGUUAUGUUAUGUAUGUGUGUAUAGUAUAGUCGUGGACAUGAUGUAUGGACAUGAUGUUUUAGCAUGAUGUAUAUACAGGUUAUGCAUGGAAAGAGCAGGUGGAAAAGAGAUAGAGUAUAUAAUGAGAUAAUGUCGAGAGUUGUGCUUUGCCCAGUGUAUGCUGAAUCCCUGGUGUAUGCAUGUGUCCUGUUUUACGUUUCUUGAUGAGAAAUGUGUCAAGCUAGGCUUAACAUAUGAUGUGUUUAUAAAACUCCAGUGAUCAGGAAAGAAAGGGUAUAAAACCCCUUGACCCAUCUGAGAGGGAAGAAAGGGUAUAAAACCCCUUGACCCAUAAUGGAAAGUAAGGCUAGCCUGUCUUAUGCUGACCCUAAGAGAGAGGGUUCUAUGUUUUCAGCUUAGUAGUAGAUCACUGGUGUAGGCCUUGACGGCUGUGGUUUUACGGUUAAGCUUGGUAGUGUUACAGAAAAUGGUUUAAAAGCUAGUGUUCGAGUUGGACCAUGUCUGGGAUUGAUCAGGUACACAGAGUGCAGUUUAGGCUUGCUACGGGUCCCGGCGGCCUUAAGCCGAUCUGGAUCCUAGCGCCGAGCAGUUUGGGCCGUUACAAAGGGGUAUCGAUUUUCGGGCUGUUACACCCACUAUUACAAUUUUGCAGAUACUCAAAUAUCUUAUGUGAUAGAAUCCUUUAUCUAUGAGAGUUACAGAUAGACUGCAGAUCUUUUAAAUAUUAUUAUCUCAUAAUAAUAAAUGAUUAAUAAUAAUAACACUUUAUUAUUAUUAAAUAUUAAUAAUAAUAACACUUUAUUAUUAUUAAAUAUUAAUAAUAAUAACACUUUAUUAUUAUUAAAUAUAUUAAUGAUUAAUAAUAAUAACACUUAUUAUUAUUAAUUAUAUUAAUGGACUUUGGACUUUUAGCCCAUUAAUAUGACAUAGCACAUCAACAACGUUCUUUUGUGUGUGACCCAAUAGGCUCACAUUAAUUGGCAAUAGGCCCAAUCCCACAAGGCCCAUAAGUCAUAAGUGGCCUCUAGCAAGACAUUAUGACUACCCAACUAAUUAUGAGGAUCAAUAGUCCGAUAAAGCCUAAUAGAACAUGAAUUAAUUCCUUUGUCACACGAUAUCUAGUUUGAACAUAAGUCAUGGUCAAUGUCAAACUUAUAAUGUUCAAACUUAUGAUUUCUCGAUCUCUAAGUAGACUGAUAAAUUCAAAUGAUAUUGAUCACACUAUCAAUUCAUUUGAGCACGGUCAUGCAUUUCUCAGUCUCACUUAUCGAGGGGCCCAAAAGAUAUCUCUCUCAUAGAGAGGGACAAAUCCUAUCUUGAUUGUUCAUUAUCCUCUACAUAAUUUCUAUUAUGCUCAAUCAUAACCUUUAUGAUUGUCCGAUUAAAGACAACGUUUGGUUAUGUCAAAACAUAAUAGUCCUUAUGUUGGAAACUAUGACAAUCUCAAGUCAAAGGAUUAAGACAUAACUACUUUGAGAUUCACUCAUGACAAUAACCCAUGUAGUGAUCUCAAUGCGGGUCCAUCCAAUACUUUGUUCUCUAACAAGUAUUUAUGAUUAUUGAAUUAUAUCAACAUAUACAUAAUCAUCUCAUGAUUAUCAAUCAAUAAUAAUACCAGUUAUAUUUUAUUAUUAUCAACAUAAUAAUAAGUAACCAGGGAUGAUAAUCAUUAUUAUAUAACAUGCAAACAAAUAAUAAUGAUAAAAACUUCUUUUAUUAAUAACCAAAACGACAUACAAAAAGGCCCAAGAUAAUGGCCUAGGGCAUAUACACUAACAAAUCUAACAUGCUCAAUAUGUUCGUCGAGGGACCUGCUAUAGAUCAAGAUAUCAUCAAAAUAAGCAACUACAAAUUUUCCCAAGUAUGCACGCAAUACAUGGUUCAUCAGCCUCAUAAACGUACUAGGUGCAUUUGACAAACCAAAAGGCAUAACUAACCAUUCAUACAAAACAUACUUUGUCUUAAAUGCAUCUUUCCAUUCAUCACCAGGUUUCAUCCUAAUAUGAUGAUAUCCACUGAGAAGAUCAAUUUUUGUAAAGUACCUGGCACCAUGAAGCUCAUCCAACAUAUCAUCUAGCCGAGGUAUAGGAUGCCUAUACUUCACUAUGAUCUUGUUAACUGCUCUACAAUCAACACACAUUCGCCAAGUGCCAUCCUUCUUUGGAACAAGCAGCACAGAAACAACACAUCAACUUAAACUCUCUCUCACCAAUCCCUUCUCCAUAAGCUCGUCAACUUGCCUUUGCAUUUCCUUUGUUUCUAUUGGAUUGCUUCGGUAAGCCGGUCUAAUUGGGAUGCUAGAACCAGGUAUGAAAUCUAUCUGAUGCUCAAUCCCUCUCAACGGUGGCAAUCCACUAGGUAGCUCAUCUGGAAAGACAUCAGUGAAUUCCUGCAUCAUAGACUUAAAACUAGAAGGCAAAGAAGAAAGGUUAAUAUCAGUGUCAGCAAAUAAAAUCUCCUUAUAUCUUAUAAGCAACAUGGGCUUCCCUAAAGAAAUAUCACUCUUAACCUCUCUCGCUCUCACAUAAAAUGUCUGUUUUUCCCUCCCCUCUUGCAUCUUUUCUCUCACCAAUGGGCCAUUUAUUGGUCUUGAUUCUUUUCCAGCAUCUUUACCUACAGACUCACUCUUUUUUCUGAUUUUUUCUGCAAAACUCAAGCUCUCACUCCCCUUAGUAGCUAAGGUCGAAGCCUCUCUCUCUCUCUCCAGCAUCUUUAUUUGAUCAGUAUAUACCUCUUGAGGUGAUAAAUGAGCGAGUAUAACCUUCUGUCCUUCAUGAGUGAAGGAGUACUUGUUAUUGAACCCAUCAUGUUGCACCUUUCUAUCAUAUUGCCACGACUUACCCAACAACAUAUGGCUUGCUUGCAUAGGUACCACAUCACACAAUGUAAUGACCCGAAAACCGGACCGCUAUCGGCGCUAGGAUUCAGAUCGACUUAAGGUCGCCGAAACUCGUAGCAAGCCUAACAUCCUGUACAUCUGAUAAAAUCCCAUACAUGAUCAUUCAUUUUCGUAAAAACUUUAAACUUUUCAUAUACCAAGCUUGACCUGUGCAUGCACCAUAACUCUAUACAUACAAAUCUCGUACUAGAGCCCUCAUCAAAUGCUCUAAUUGGGUCAACAUUACAUACAUCAAGCUUGGUUCAACAUAUAUCAUCAUUAAAUACAUUUCAUAAAGAUCAUAUACCAAAGGGAUUAACCAUACAUUAGGGCCAAGCACAAUACUAAUCCUCAUUACAUCACUGUACAAUACCUUACAUUACAUUACAUGUCAUUUCAUGUCCACUACUAAUCUAUUACAUAAAUGUAGCCAUUACCCUUGCUGACUUCCUGUGCUAUCUCUGACCCUGCAACUUGGGGGUUUAGAGGAAAGGGGUGAGCUAUAAGAGCCCAGUGAGCAGAAUAGUAAAAACAGUUCAUUAAACGUAUACUUUUAUGAAAUGCGUCACAUCACAAACAAUUCACAUCACGGAUGGACUGACCCAAAAAUCCCUCUACUCUGUGCCCGGCCCUCGGUGGAGCUCCUCAGGACUUCUAUUACAUAACAUAACAUCUAAAGGGCUAAUGGGUCGUCCUGUUGUCCAUCCACACCAACAAUAAAUAAUGCAAUGCGUCAUAUUCGUGAAUUCUAAUGCAAACAACCUAUUACAUAUCAUGAUGCAUGAACAUGCUUAAAACAUUUGUUUUCUCGAAAUAAAAGAUUAGUUUAGUUCUACUCACCUCUGGCUGACUCUGAACUAACUCUGGAGCAGCUAACUCACUGCUGAUCACCUCGGUUCCUCAGGUCCGAUCCUACUCAGGUGGACUCAAAUGAGAGACCAAACAUACUCUAUCAUGACUCUAAACAACUCCCCAAAAACCACCUAAAACAUCAUAAAACAUGCAUGGAAAACAAGCAAAGGAAGGUUGGGCAGGGGACUUUCGACUGCAGGUUCGGCGGCCGAAGGUCCCUACAGAUUCGAAAGUUAGGCACUUUCGGGGGCAAGGUUCGGCGGCCGAAAGUCCUCCACAGAUCCUAAAGUCAAGCACUUUCGGGGGUUUAGCGGCUGAAACUCCCCUCCAGAGCCAAAAGUCCAAACUUUCGGGGGCAAGUUUAGGCGGCCAAAGUUGCCUCCACAGGCAGGUUUGGCGGCCGAAACUGGCUUCGGCGGCCGAACCUGGGUCCUCCCGAAGGGCAGAACCCGAUUCCGCCUCACUCAUCCAGCCACCCAAAACUUCCCAACAUGCAUCCAACUAUUUUAAAACAUGCAUAAACACAUUUUCAAGCUCAUAGGGGCAUAAAACUAGCCUAAACCCCAACAAACAUCAACAUAGCAUCACAUUUAGCAUAAAACUAACAUAAACCCUAACAUUUAGAUCUACUCUCAAACAUGCAUCAAUACCCCUUAACCCCUCAUAAAACUUAAUUAAAACAUGAAAGAAGAGGAGGAUCUACACUUACCUCUUGAAGAUCGAGAGGAGAUGCGAUUCCAAACUUGGAGAUGUGGAGGAACGAGCUUCGGGAACUUGGAGAUGUGGAGGAACGAGCUUCGGGGGUCUCCAAGAUUGAAGACUUUGAUUUUGAGCUUAAAAACUUCAAAACAAGAUAAAAGCAUGUCAAAAACUUGAAUGAUUUGAAGGAAAACAUAAAAUCAACCAAAGGAGAGCGAAAUCUCACUUAUGCCCGAAAAUAGAGAGAGAAAACUCGCCCAUUUUCGGACAAGGGGCAUUUUAUAGGUGGCUGGCCAGACCACCUUCGGGGGCCAAAGGUGCUUCCGCAAACUCCCCAUGUUCGGCGGCCGAACUUGAGGUUCGACGGCCGAACCUGGGUUUUUCCUCCAUGGCUUUUUCUUUCAAAACUCAAUUUUCUUUCUUUGUUAAAACUUUAAAAACAUUAAAACAUUCUAUAAAAACCUUAUUUUACCCCUUCAAGAAGGCUCCGACAUCCGAGAAUUUCGGAUUCCAACGGAGAUUCCGCUGGAAGGUAGGAAUUCCAAUGCCGGGGUCUAGCUGGAUAUUACACACAAGAUCUCAUCCUUGUACCUACCAAUAGAAAAUAGUAUAACCACCUGGCGUGCAACCCUAACCUCACCACAAUCAUUCAACCAUUGCAAUCUGUAUGGCUUAGGGUGUCUAAUAGAAGCCACGCCCAAUUUCUCCAUCAUAUACACACUAGCCACAUUUGUGCAACUACCUCCAUCAAUAAUGAGAGUACACACUUUUCCAUUAACCAAACACCUAGUGUGAAAUAUGUUUUCCCGUUGUUCUAGGCUUUCUUUCUUAACCUGGAUAUUCAGAGCACGCCUAGCAACAAGCAUCUCACCAUGUUCAGCAAGCAACACAUUAUCAACAAACACAUCCGAAUCAUCACAGUCAAUCAAUUAAGUCAUAUUAGCAUAUAUCUCAUCAUCACUAUGAUCAGACUUAGACACUAGACCCCCAUCAGUAGUUGCUAUCAUAACUCUUUUAUUAGGACAUUGAGAUGCAAUAUGUCCCUUCCCUAAGAAUUUAAAACAUUUUAUAUCUCUACUAGGGUUAGAAAAGUUCGAAUUACCUGACAGUUGCUUGUCAUUCCCUUGAGAAGGUCCUUUAAUGGUGGAGACUGAAUCUUUGCCCCCUGGAUUGGGCUUUUGUAAUCUUUCUUUUCUCCACUUCUAUAGCCGGAAAUCCACCACCACUAUUUGAGGACUUGUAUGUGAUUUUAAGAUUAUUCCUGCCCUUGUGACGCCUUUCUAUUUUCAUUGCUUUGUCAACCAUAUCCUCCAUGGUAUUUUAUUGGUACAUGUUAAGUUCUUCAGCAAUGUAGUGGUUAAGACCACCUAAAAACCUGGACAUCAACAUUUGCUCAUCCUCCUUAAUAUGAGCCCGAGCCAUCAUCAUCUCCAUCUCCUUGUGGUAUUCUUCCACACUCUUUCCUCCUUGCACCAGUCUUGCCAACCUGUUGUACAAAUCCAUAUAAUAGUGCGAAGGAAUAAAUCUUUGGCGUUUCAACUCUUUCAAGUAUUCCCAUGGUGGAACUGCCCUUAAGCCCUUAUUCCUCCUAGUGGAUUUCAAUUGAUCCCACCAGAAAGAGGCAUAACCCGUCGAAUAAAUUAGACAACGCUAUCUCCAUUACACACCUUAAGCAAUGUGAGUAGCUUAGUUGUGUCUUCAAGCUUCGCGAGACAUUUGCCAAUGGCAAGCUCAGUCAAUUCUUGUGUUACUUGUUCUUGAAUGUGUAAGUUCAUAGCUGCUUCAAGCUUCUUAGCUUUGUUCCUUAUCACUGGUCCACUAGGGAGCACCAAUAGAUCCUUGCUUCCUUGAUUCUCAUGUGAUUGUGCUUGCUGGUUCGUAUCAUAAGUGGAAUAGUUCAAAUGUGCGCCACCUAACUUCUCAUUGAAAUAUGCUAUUGGUCGGCCUUCCUGCAUAAGAACAACACCAAUACCAAUCCCAGAAGUAUCACAUUUAAUUUCAAAGGUUUUAGAAAAAUCAAGUUCCCAUUCUUUACCCCAUUUAAACCCAAUAGCCUUUUUAAUGAUCUCAUUUAGAGGUGCAACAAUAGUGCUGAAAUCUCUAACAAACCUCCUAUAGAAGCUUGCUCAUUCAUGAAAGGAUCUCACCUCAUUAGCAUUCUUAGGUGUAAGUCAUUCUUGGAUAGCCUUAACAUUUUCAGUGUCUACCUCAACUCCACGUGAACUAACAACAAAUCCUAGGAAUAUGACAUUAUCAGUACAAAAUGUGCAUUUCUUAAGAUUAACAUACAAUUUGAUGCGGAACCCCAGCCUGAUGAUGUAAGCACAACCAACAGCACAAAAAAUGAUGAGCUAGCAUUGCCUCAAGGACCAAUUACAAGGUUGAGAUCCAAGAGGUUGAAGGAGGAACUUCAAGGAUUCAUGAAGAGAUAUGUUGAAGCUUUGCAAGUUCAUUUUGAAGUUGAAGAACAAUCUGGUCAUUCCAAGUCCAUUAGGCCGAAUGUGUCCUUAUUGAUGAUUCAAAUUUUAUACUUGCAUUAAUAGAUUCCCCAUCAUUAAUUCAGUAGUGGAUAGUUAUUUAGUAGUUGGUAGUUAACCAGUAGUGGAUAGUUAUCCAGAAGUGGAUAGUGGCAUAGAUCAUGGAUCCAUGCAUAGUAGUGGAUAGUGGCAUAGAUCAUGGGUCCAUGCAUAGUAGUAGAAAGUGGCAAAUUUUGACAAAUUGCACAUUGUUUAACAUCUAAUUACACUUAGUACAUGAAAUUUCACUUUUGUGAGCUAAAUCAAUCCGUUUGUUCAUUUUGGUCAGUUUGCAUCUAGUGUUGUUUCCUAUCUUUUCUUGUUAGGUCUUUCCUUGCUUUCCUUAUUAUUUGAAUCGUCCAACCUUGGCUUAUUGAGUCUUUAUUCUGAAGUGCACUUUUGACAUACAAAGUGAGUGCUUGAAAGUUAAACACGUGAGUUGAGAGAAUUGUGAAUUUUUCUAUAAUGUCUGGGAAUAAUACUGGUAAUACUUCUGACCCUAUGUUUGAUAUUAAAGAUAUGUAUAAAGCUUUCAUGGAUAGUUUUCAAAAGCUAAAUUUGAGAAUGGAUAACCUUGAGGACAACCUUAGAUCUUAAAAGAGCAACCAAUCAGGAGGAUGAUGAUACACACGAUCCAUCCUAUGAAGAGGAAAAUGUGGCACAAUGAUGUGAGCACAACCAACAACACUAAAAAUGAUGAGCUAGAAUUGCCUCAAAGACCAAUUACAAGGUUGAGAACCAAGAGGUUGAAGGAAGCACUUCAAGAAUUCAUGAAGGGAUAUGUUGAAACUUUACAAGUUCAUUUUGAAGUUCUAGAACAAUCUGGCCAUUCCAAGUCCAUUAGGCCGAAUGUGUCCUUAUUGACGAUUCAAAUUUUGUAUUUGUAUUAACAGAUUCCCCAUCACUAAUUCACUAGUGGGUAGUUAUUUAGCAGUUGGUAGUUAACCAAUAGUGGAUAGUUAUCCAAAAGUGGAUAGUGGCAUAGAUCAUGGGUCCAUGCAUAGUAGUGGGUUGUGGCUAGGGGUGAGCAUUCGGUCGGUUCGGUUCAAAACCGAACCGAACCGAAUAAAUCGAAAACCAAAAUUUUAGUGUUUAUGAAAACUGAACCGAACCGAUUUUGUUCAGAAACCGAAUCGAACUGAACCGGUCUGAUUCGAUUCGAUUCGGUUCAGUUUGAUCGGUUUCAAUUUUUAAUAAUUUUUUUUAUUUUUUACACUUUAUUUUUAAUAUUUUAAAAUUUAAUUAAAAUAUUUUAAUUUUAAUAUGAUUUAAUUUCUCUAUAUUAUUGAAAAAAUAUAUUAUUAUCACUAAUCGGUUUGGUUUGGUUUUUUCAGUUUUUUCUGAUCAAAACCGAACCGAACUGAAAUAACCAAAAUUUCUGAAAUUAAAAACCGAACCGAACCGAAAUGUAUAAAAAACAGAACCAAAUUUUCAAAUCGAUUCGGUUCGGUCGGUUUUUUCGGUUUGAACCGAAUACUGCUCAUCCCUAGUUGUGGCAUAGAUCAUGGGUCUAUGCAUAGUAGAGGGAAGUGGCAAAGACCAUGAUGCAGAACCCCAGCCUAUUAGAGACUGAAAUGAUACACACCCUAGUAAAAAGAACUUAGUUCAGAAAACAAUUCCCCAAUCUAAAGCACCCUUAAUUAACAUGCAAUUAAGAACACUUAUAAUUGAUUGAUUUUAAGAGCAGCAAGAAUAAGAAUCAUACAAGUUAGUAUCAAACCUUAUUCGUGAUGCAAUGUCAAGAACCAAGAUCUCUCUUAAGCUCUCAAAGAAGAAUCGUGUAAAGCAAUUGUAUUGAAUAAUUGAUAAUCUGUAUACAAUAUGGAAAAAGAGAUGUUUUAUAUAACCUAAAUAAAGACCCAUGAUCUUUGCCACUUCCCACUACUAUGCAUGGAC